ACGAAGUCUUCGGACUGAGUGGCGGACGGGUGAGUAACGCGUGAGAAUCUGCCUAGAGGUCGGGGACAACCAUUGGAAACGAUGGCUAAUACCGGAUAUGCCUUACGGGGUGAAAGAUUAAUUGCCUUUAGAAGAGCUCGCGUCUGAUUAGCUAGUUGGUGAGGUAAGAGCUCACCAAGGCAGCGAUCAGUAGCUGGUCUGAGAGGAUGACCAGCCACACUGGGACUGAGACACGGCCCAGACUCCUACGGGAGGCAGCAGUGGGGAAUUUUCCGCAAUGGGCGAAAGCCUGACGGAGCAAGACCGCGUGAGGGAGGAAGGCUCUUGGGUUGUAAACCUCUUUUGUCAGGGAAGAACAAAAUGACGGUACCUGACGAAUCAGCAUCGGCUAACUCCGUGCCAGCAGCCGCGGUAAUACGGAGGAUGCAAGCGUUAUCCGGAAUUAUUGGGCGUAAAGCGUCCGCAGGUGGCUGAUCAAGUCUGCGGUCAAAGACCGGGGCUUAACCCUGGAAAGGCCGUGGAAACUGAUAGAGCUAGAGUACCGUAGGGGUAGAGGGAAUUCCCGGUGUAGCGGUGAAAUGCGUAGAGAUCGGGAAGAACAUCGGUGGCGAAAGCGCUCUACUGGACGGUGACUGACACUCAGGGACGAAAGCUAGGGGAGCGAAUGGGAUUAGAUACCCCAGUAGUCCUAGCCAUAAACGAUGGAUACUAG
RNAcentral lists this ribosomal RNA (712 nucleotides) under uncultured cyanobacterium. RNAcentral describes it as "bacterial SSU rRNA". It matches the Rfam family "Bacterial small subunit ribosomal RNA", at positions 66 to 819 of the family's 1533-position model. Lineage: Bacteria; Bacillati; Cyanobacteriota. The record is from RNAcentral.